RNAcentral lists this ribosomal RNA (253 nucleotides) under uncultured bacterium. Its description in RNAcentral is "partial 16S ribosomal RNA". It matches the Rfam family "Bacterial small subunit ribosomal RNA", at positions 524 to 776 of the family's 1533-position model. The record is from RNAcentral.
UACGGGGGGGGCAAGCGUUGUUCGGAAUUACUGGGCGUAAAGCGCGCGUAGGCGGCUUUGCAAGUCGAGUGUGAAAUCCCCAGGCUUAACCUGGGAACUGCAUUCGAGACUGCAUAGCUAGAGUAUGGGAGAGGGAAGUGGAAUUUCAGGUGUAGCGGUGAAAUGCGUAGAUAUCUGAAGGAACAUCAGUGGCGAAAGCGACUUCCUGGACCAAUACUGACGCUCAUGUGCGAAAGCGUGGGGAGCAAACAGG